This 72-nucleotide transfer RNA is filed under the name Ancylostoma ceylanicum. It matches the Rfam family "tRNA". Rfam says of the family: Transfer RNA (tRNA) molecules are approximately 80 nucleotides in length. Their secondary structure includes four short double-helical elements and three loops (D, anti-codon, and T loops). Lineage: Eukaryota; Metazoa; Nematoda; Chromadorea; Rhabditida; Ancylostomatidae. The record is from Rfam by way of RNAcentral.
AAGCAAGUCGAGGACGGAUAACGCGUCUGCCUACGGAGCAGAAGAUUGCAGGUUCGAAUCCUGCCGUGGUCG